This is a long non-coding RNA of Perca fluviatilis (European perch), 1115 nucleotides long. RefSeq lists it as uncharacterized. The transcript is spliced from 2 exons. The record is from RefSeq and is a predicted model, not a curated record. Lineage: Eukaryota; Metazoa; Chordata; Actinopteri; Perciformes; Percidae.
GCACACGAAAAACCCGAAGGAGAGAAGCCAGAUGAAAUUAAUAUCCAGAGAUAAAUAUUUGUGUGUCAAACAGUAGGCUAAGAUGCGGCCAUUUUAUUGACACUGUAAAUGGACAGUAGCCUACUCUGGACAACAAAACUGUUAAGUGAAGUUUGAAAGGAGUUGGACUCUGGCUUAAGUCCAAACUAAUUUAAAAGUGAACUAACCUACAUGACUGAAAUUAAACAACUGGGAGAGUUAGCUUUUUUUGCAGUAACGUUACUGACAUUAGCUAACGUUACUUUUAGUUUGCUAGCACAUGCAGCGUUGGAGGCCAAUGGAGGGUGGAAAUGACGAUGUCUGUCAACAACUCCACAGAAGUACCAUGGCAGCACCAAGUGCAGAAGUUAGCUACAUGACAUGGCUAUUUUGACCACUUCGCCUCCAUGAAUGGAAGAAGAGACGACUUUAGCUUCAGAGAGUGAUGAUCAUGCCAUGCACAGUCCCAAUCUGGUCAGGUGUACUCAAGGCUGAGCACUAAAGAGGAGGAGGGCUAAUGGGCUAUUUCUCACCUCUGUAGAGCAUAACUCUGCCAUCUGCUGCAGGGAGUCUCUCUUAGCGCCUCGCUCCUCUCUCUGGAACAGCGAAUGGACAAAUGGCAACCUGAGAGUCGCACUCAGCAGCUGAAUACAGGACUGGGCGCACAUGGACUUAUUGCUAUUUUCCCUUGGCUCAUCUUGUCCCUCCGCCACUUCCUCUCACCACCUUUUGUCAAUUUUACUUGUAUAGCCCAAUGUUGCGAAUCACAAAUUUGCCUGAAGGGGCUUUACAAUCUGUACGGGAUACAACACUUUCUGAACCCAUGAUUAGGAUGAGGAAGAACUCCUCCAGAAAAAAACUUAAACGGGGACGAAAAGGUGGAAGAAACCUCAGGAAAAGCCACAGAGCAGGGGUCCCUCUUCUAGGACAGACAGACAUGCAACGGAUGUCUUUCUCUGUUGCUCUGACUUUUCUUACUGUGUCCUCCAAAAAAUAUUGACACAGUCGCAUGCAUGCACAAGCAAACUGAUGCUUCUUCCAAACUUGUUUGAGUUUUUUAAGAAAUUAAAUGCCUAAUUAAAAGUCUUGAAACUACA